CCCUGCCAUUUGUACACACCGCCCGUCGCUACUACCGAUUGAAUGGCUCAGUGAGGCCUUCGGACUGGCUCAGGGAGGUCGGCAACGACCACCCAGAGCCGGAAAGUUCGUCAAACUUGGUCAUUUAGAGGAAG
Molecule: ribosomal RNA, 134 nt
Filed under: uncultured eukaryote
Lineage: Eukaryota
Description: partial small subunit ribosomal RNA
Rfam family: Eukaryotic small subunit ribosomal RNA
Source: RNAcentral